Rosa chinensis is the source of this 387-nucleotide long non-coding RNA. RefSeq lists it as uncharacterized. The record is from RefSeq and is a predicted model, not a curated record. Lineage: Eukaryota; Viridiplantae; Streptophyta; Magnoliopsida; Rosales; Rosaceae. The transcript has 3 exons.
GGGAUAUUGUUCGUUGUGGGAUUUCCGAUUUCAGUAAUUGGUUAGAAGAGCUUGGAGGGAUAUUGUUUGUUGUGGAGUUUGCGAUUUCAGUAAUUGGUUGGAAGAGGUCGGAGGUCAGAUUUCAGUAAUUGUUGUGGGUCUUCAUUCGCCAGAUAAACCAUUGUCACAUAGAGUUCAAGUAGUACAGCAAGCGACCUUAAGCUUCAAUGGAGAAGCUUCUUAAUCCAUAUGAUAAGGAGCAGGAACUCAUGUAUAAGAUCCAGAAAUCGAAACGAAGGUUGAGCAGAGUGAGAUAAUGGUUCAAGAGAUAUGUUAUGACAUUAAAAAGUUAGAUUUUCCGAAAAAGCAUAUAACAACCACCAUUGCUGCUGUUCAUUGUCUGACCAU